GCCGCGGUAAUACGUAUGUCCCGAGCGUUAUCCGGAUUAUUGGGCGUAAAGCGAGCGCAGACGGUUUAUUAAGUCUGAUGUGAAAGCCCGGAGCUCAACUCCGGAAUGGCAUUGGAAACUGGUUAACUUGAGUGCAGUAGAGGUAAGUGGAACUCCAUGUGUAGCGGUGGAAUGCGUAGAUAUAUGGAAGAACACCAGUGGCGAAGGCGGCUUACUGGACUGCAACUGACGUUGAGGCUCGAAAGUGUGGGUAGCAAACAGGAUUAGAUACCCUGGUAGUCCACACCGUAAACGAUGAACACUAGGUGUUAGGAGGUUUCCGCCUCUUAGUGCCGAAGCUAACGCAUUAAGUGUUCCGCCUGGGGAGUACGACCGCAAGGUUGAAACUCAAAGGAAUUGACGGGGACCCGCACAAGCGGUGGAGCAUGUGGUUUAAUUCGAAGCAACGCGAAGAACCUUACCAGGUCUUGACAUCCUUUGAAGCUUUUAGAGAUAGAAGUGUUCUCUUCGGAGACAAAGUGACAGGUGGUGCAUGGUCGUCGUCAGCUCGUGUCGUGAGAUGUUGGGUUAAGUCCCGCAACGAGCGCAACCCUUAUUGUUAGUUGCCAGCAUUCAGAUGGGCACUCUAGCGAGACUGCCGGUGACAAACCGGAGGAAGGCGGGGACGACGUCAGAUCAUCAUGCCCCUUAUGACCUGGGCUACACACGUGCUACAAUGGCGUAUACAACGAGUUGCCAACCCGCGAGGGUGAGCUAAUCUCUUAAAGUACGUCUCAGUUCGGAUUGUAGUCUGCAACUCGACUACAUGAAGUCGGAAUCGCUAGUAAUCGCGGAUCAGCACGCCGCGGUGAAUACGUUCCCGGGUCUUGUACACACCGCCCGUCACACCAUGGGAGUUUGUAAUGCCCAAAGCCGGUGGCCUAACCUUUUAGGAAGGAGCCGUCUAAGCAGACAAGAGGGA
This 961-nucleotide ribosomal RNA is filed under the name Leuconostoc mesenteroides. RNAcentral's name for it is "bacterial SSU rRNA". It matches the Rfam family "Bacterial small subunit ribosomal RNA", at positions 514 to 1474 of the family's 1533-position model. The record is from RNAcentral. Lineage: Bacteria; Bacillati; Bacillota; Bacilli; Lactobacillales; Lactobacillaceae.